ACGGGUGAGUAACGCGUGGGAAUCUACCUUUUGCUACGGAAUAACUCAGGGAAACUUGUGCUAAUACCGUAUGUGCCCUUCGGGGGAAAGAUUUAUCGGCAAGAGAUGAGCCCGCGUUGGAUUAGCUAGUUGGUGGGGUAAAGGCCUACCAAGGCGACGAUCCAUAGCUGGUCUGAGAGGAUGAUCAGCCACACUGGGACUGAGACACGGCCCAGACUCCUACGGGAGGCAGCAGUGGGGAAUAUUGGACAAUGGGCGCAAGCCUGAUCCAGCCAUGCCGCGUGAGUGAUGACGGUCUUAGGAUUGUAAAGCUCUUUCACCGGUGAAGAUAAUGACGGUAACCGGAGAAGAAGCCCCGGCUAACUUCGUGCCAGCAGCCGCGGUAAUACGAAGGGGGCUAGCGUUGUUCGGAUUUACUGGGCAUAAAGCGCACGUAGGCGGACUUUUAAGUCAGGGGUGAAAUCCCAGAGCUCAACUCUGGAACUGCCUUUGAUACUGGAAGUCUUGAGUAUGGUAGAGGUGAGCGGAAUUCCGAGU
This 537-nucleotide ribosomal RNA is filed under the name uncultured bacterium. RNAcentral's name for it is "bacterial SSU rRNA". It matches the Rfam family "Bacterial small subunit ribosomal RNA", at positions 102 to 674 of the family's 1533-position model. The record is from RNAcentral.